CUCUUCUUGUAUAUUUUUAUUUGAAGUAUAACCUGCCCACUGAAAAUUUAUUUUGAAGGGCCGCGGUAUUUUGACCGUGCAAAGGUAGCAUAAUCAUUAGUUUUUUAAUUGGGAACUGGAAUGAAUGGUUGAACGAAGAAUAUACUGUUUCUUAUAAAUUAUUUGAAUUUAAAGUUUAAGUAAAAAUACUUAAAUUUUUUUAUGGGACGAGAAGACCCUAUAGAGUUUAAUAUUUUUUAUUAAUUACUUUGUUUGUUUUUAGGAAUAAUUUAUUAGAUAUUUUGUUGGGGAGAUAGAAAGAAUUAAUAAACUCUUUUUUUUAUUAAUAUAUUUAUUUAUAAUUUUUUGAUCCAUUUUUGUUGAUUAUAAGACUAAAUUACCUUAGGGAUAACAGCGUAA
RNAcentral lists this ribosomal RNA (399 nucleotides) under Celatoblatta sp. CK77. Its description in RNAcentral is "partial large subunit ribosomal RNA". The record is from RNAcentral. Lineage: Eukaryota; Metazoa; Arthropoda; Insecta; Blattodea; Blattidae.